RNAcentral lists this ribosomal RNA (229 nucleotides) under uncultured bacterium. RNAcentral describes it as "partial 16S ribosomal RNA". It matches the Rfam family "Bacterial small subunit ribosomal RNA", at positions 568 to 796 of the family's 1533-position model. The record is from RNAcentral.
UGCGCAGGCGGAACUUUAAGUCAGUGGUGAAAUCUUGCCGCUUAACGGUAAAAUUGCCAUUGAUACUGAAGUUCUUGAAUAUGGUUGAGGUAGGCGGAAUGUGUUGUGUAGCGGUGAAAUGCAUAGAUAUGACACAGAACGCCGAUUGCGAAGGCAGCUUACUAAGCCAUAAUUGACGCUGAGGCACGAAAGCGUGGGGAGCGAACAGGAUUAGAUACCCUGGUAGUCC